RNAcentral lists this long non-coding RNA (4743 nucleotides) under Sus scrofa (pig). RNAcentral describes it as "lncRNA (ENSSSCG00000056808.1)". The record is from RNAcentral. Lineage: Eukaryota; Metazoa; Chordata; Mammalia; Artiodactyla; Suidae.
CUGCGUUGCUCCUGUUUCUGUUAAAGGGAUCUUGGCCCUCCGGGUCUCUAAGAUGCCAGCAUCGCAGGGUUCCUCUGUGCUCUGCACCCACUCGCCCUGCUCACUGACUCUCCCAGCUGCUUCUAUUCCAUUUCCCCUGCACAGUUUAGAUCACCCUUACGUAUAGGCAUAUACCUUCUAGCCUCUAGAGUUGAUCAGAAUUCCGCUCCAGCUGAUAAGAAGCCCAGCUCUUAGACUCCGAAUUACGAAGCAAAGCUCCGCCAGUCUCACCUUCCUGCUCACAUACCGUGGAUAUAACCGAGGUUUAGCCUAGCAUCCAGGCCGUCGAUGGCAGGACCCCUGGUUAUCUCCUGACGUUAAUUCCAUGCCCGCGUCCGCCUCCUCCUGGACCUUGCCCACCUUGGUGCCUUUGCCUGAAACUCCUUGUCCCCUAUUUCUGCGUUUCUAAAUCGAUCCACCCUCAAAGCCACGUUUAGAGGCUACCUCGUCCAUGAACUCGUUUCUGAGCUUCCCUAGCUGUAAAUAACUGCACCCCCGUUCUCUGAAUUCUCAGCCCACUUUUCUUUCCCGCUCAUGACCCGUCAUUUUGUGCCUCGAAUUAAAGCAGUCUGUGGAAGGAGGAAGACUAACACUCACUAGAUCAGUCAUUGCGUUGGGCCUUUUUAUUAGCUCCUUUAAUAUUUACCUGGCCCUGGGAGGCCUGUGCUCUCAGCCCUUGUCGCAGGAGAGGAAACAGAUGCUCAGAAUGGCACCAGGAAAUUGGCUUCUGCUGCCAGCCUUUACAGGUCUGUGCUGUUUCCACUCCCUCUCCUCUGGAUGGUGCCUCCUCGAGAGUGAGGACGGUAACGUUUCAUCUUUACACCCUCAAGGCUCCCGGGGCAGGGCUUGGCACCCGGCCAGCACCCUUUCCGCUGCGGACUGGCUGCCCUGGGCGUUGCUCUCUCCCAGCUGUGCCGCGCACUGCCGCUGUGCCUUCCAGAGUCACACAUGCUGUAGGCCUCGCCACCCAUCCACGCUGAGAUGUUUUUCCUGUGCUCCGGGGCCUGUUUAUGCGUCUCCCUUUGAUUGGCAAGCUUUGAAGCAGGCAGAGAUGGAAUGUGCAGGACUCUUUUGUCCAGAUCCUGAGCAUAACAAUCACAUGAUUUCUGGGGACGAAAACACGUUGUUUUUCAGGAUGAUUUUGUGCUGUUCUUUCAAACCAAUUCUAGUGCGUUUCCUCCACCCCUUCUAACAGGCAGAAAUUGCAUGCUGAGUCCCCUGUGACAUCGCCUUUGUAUGAAAAUUAUUUAUGCUCAAGACCCCAGCCUACUGCCACCUAUUUUAUCCCUCUCCCCCCGCCACCCCCCCUAGUUGCUGGGAGCACUCUUUCUGCCGUCUGCGCAGGCGCAGGUGCGAGGUUUUCCCCCAACCCCGCCCCCGCCAGCCACACCCAUGGUCCCGAGUCCCUCCCACCAAAGCUCACCUGUCCUUGCUCUCUGCUAGGUAACCCGUAAACUGGGACUAGACAGCUGUUCCCGGGAUUCCUGCAUUAACUCCUUGCUCCUUCCACUUGAGUAAUUUAAUGGACAAAGGAACAUAAUGGCAGGAACCAGGCCACUUGCUCUCCCGUGGAGAGAGGGUAUUUUAGGGCAAGGGGACUCUUCUGAGGGUCCGCCCCUGGCACCAGCAGCCCGCGUGGCUGAUCCCAUCCACACAUAGCCCCCACCCCCAACACUGCGCUUGAUUGCGGCAGGAAGUGGCGAUGAGCCACGCUCCCAAGGCUGCCUUCUUACCGUCUGAUGCCAGUGACUCACACACCAGGCUGGUAAGGCUGGUGCCCCACAGAAGUGUGAUUCCCCAAGAGCACGGGUGAUCCGUGGCUCCUGUGGGGCUGGGAAGGCCCCCAGCAUCCGUGUGUUGUCAGAGCUGGCUGAGGGAGCCCUGAGAGCCGGGGGCGGGGGGCUGCUCUCCCGCAGACUCUGGCCCUGGGCAGUGCUCUAUGAGACCGCGGAGGGGCCGCACCAGACACCUGCGCUCAGGCGGGGCGGGGGCGGCGCGCACGUGUCCACUGUCCUGAGCGUGGCAGGUGCACGUGCUUUUGCUUUUUCAGGAGCACCAAAAGGUCUCUGACUCCCUCGGUGUGGUGCUUUGAUGUUAGAAAAUCCUUGUUUUGCCUCCAAAUUCAUGCACAAAGCCUUCCAAGGCCCUGGAUUUAUGGUGGUGGAUUUCAUGGGCAUCCAUGGCCCUGAGCAGCUGUCGUGGGAUUUCUGCCGUUUGAAUGCUCGCUCAUUCCCAUGGAGAGCUCCGGGGACAUCUAAGCCCUCGGAUGGUCUGGCGCGGCUUGCCCUCUUUCUGUCCCCAGCAUGUAGGUGGCUGCAGCUAUUGCUGCCAUUUGCUCUGGGUUCCUUCAGGGAAAGGUGGCCCUUUUUAAUCCAGGGUUAAUGAAAUGUGUUCUCGUUUAUUUGUGGGUAUUUAUCUGAAUCUCAGUUGUGUCGUCUAUGCAAUGAAACACUAAGAAGUGAAACUCUUCUCCUAGGACGGAGGAUAGUGCCAUUACUAACGUCUUUUGGGACAUGAGGAAAAAAUUUGUGUCAAGUGGUAGGUAUAUUGCAAAAAAGUGCAUGCUUCUUAUGGAAAAGCUAGGAAUUGGCCAGAUAAAUGUCAGCUAUUACAUGAUAGGUAGACAGGUAGCUAUACAGAUAGAAGUGUAUAUUCACAUUAUAUAUAUUCAUAUAUAUAAUUAUAUCUUCAGAUAUAUAAUUAUCCAUAUGUCUAUAAUUAGCCAAUUUCAAGUGCUAAAUGAUGAGAGUUCAAACUUUCUUUUUCCUUAAGAAAGAGGGCAAAGCCAGGCCAGGCCGUGGGAGAGGAGGAUGGGUGGUUCUCCCAGUGGAGACGGGGUCUGAUUUCCUGCACGAUUAGCCAGAGCAGUUGUCCUGCGCUGGCUCCUGGCCCCUGGCCCCGACUCAGUGGAGUCAGCCACAGGCUCAUCAGUUCGAGAGGGAAGCAGAUGCUGAGGGCUGUCGCCAGCGCUGGCAGAGGCAGGCCCUGGCGGGGGCGUGCUCCCACGGCAAGGCCAUGCCGGUGCCCCAGGGACUGUUCCCCUAAAGUCCAGCCGAGCGGCCUUUGGCCAGGCCUGGCCCUUCUGAAGUGGACCUUCCUGGCGAGCCCCAGCAGGAGGUAGCCCCGAGCUGCAGCAUCCUUGAACUUGAAGAACAGCCGCGUUGACUUUGCCGGCAGCGUCAAGGGGCGAGAGCAGCUCUGCAACUUGGCUGUUUAAGCUCUGACAUUUUGAACAGGGUCUUGACCGCGCAGAGGCAUCGUUAUGGAAAAGCACAAAUCACUUCGGAGCCAAGACCAGUUAAAGCUGAGGCCAGCCUCGGCCCAGCUGCCUCACAUAGUACGGCGAACUUGCUGAGAAUACAGAUCCCCACCUCCCACGCUGGAUGCUCCCAUGACGGGUCCGCAGUGGCCCUGGAAUCUGCGUUCGGACCAGCUGCCCUAGGCAGAUUUGAGGCCCUGGCCUGGUCUAACGCCCCACGUAGAAUCACAGAGGUCCCUUCCGCCGUGUUCCUGAGCUCAAGAGUCUUAACAGCGUUGUUUCUCUCCCGCGCUGCCAUCUGCAGCGGAGAACUCUCCCUCAUCUGCCCUGGCUUCCUCCCUUUGGCACAAUAAGUGAGAGCCUGUGGAAUCGGAGGGAUUGGGAGAGCAGCUGCGGGCAGGGGAGUCGGUGGGUUGUGAAUAGGUGUGUGUGUGUGUGUGCCUGAGUGUGUGCACAGCAGCACGUGCUUGUGUUAGUGGGCAUGAAGCAGAAGGGAGGUUGAUAUUCAGAUCAGACGAGGGCUUGGCACAUCCAGGGCCAGCAGCCAUUGAGAUCGGUGUGUGCCAGGGCAAAGCAUGCCCACACAAGACCAGCUUAUCCAGAGGCUCCGUCACCUGACUGGCGGGGGAGGAGCCGAGCCUGAUCUUCGGAGAUGGGGGUGGAAGAGGGAGCAGGCUGCCAGCAUCAGGCAACCAGCGGAAGUUAAGGAAACGGGUCCAGGGAACAAGCUCAAAAUCCCUGGGAGACCUGAGCAGAAAGAAGCCAGCCAUUCUUCCUUGCAGGGGAAGAAGGUGCCAGAAGAGCCUUUCGCUGUAAGAACGAUUUCUAGAGCCCAUUACCUCCUGGGAUGGGCUGGCCAUCAGCCCAGGCCCCUUGACUCUGAGGAAGGGGCAGGGUCUGUGAAGAGGGUUGGGUCUCCUUCGGGACGUCUUGCUGCCAGCACGGGGUGGGUCCCAGGUCCUCAGGUCCCCUGCUGCCUGUCAGGUUUCACAGGCUCUUUGCCACCCCAGGUGAGAAUCUUCUGUUAGUAAAGCAGACUAUUCCAGAAGCCGCCUGAUCCGUAUGGAGCAGAGUGGAAGCUCCUUUGUUUGGACAUUACCGCUCUCGGCCCCCAAGCGGCGCUGAGCAGUCCUCACAUAAGACUGGUUUACACUGACCCUGCAGAGGCCAAACCCUCUAGAACCUUUUUGCAGAACUUCUCUUAAAAUCAGAUCUGGGAGUUCCCAUCGUUGCUGAGCGGAAACAAGUCUGACUGGUAUCCAUGAGGACACAGGUUCGAUCCCUGGCCUCACUCAGUGGGUUAAGGAUCUGGCGUUGCCUUGAGCUGUGGUGUCGGUCUCAGAUGUGGCUCGGAGCUGGUGUGGCUGUGGCUGUGGUGUAGGCUGGUGGCUACAGCACCGGUUCGACCCCUAGCCUGGGAACCUCCAUAGGCCGCAGGUGCGGCC